This 1404-nucleotide ribosomal RNA is filed under the name Aquitalea sp. cmc9. Its description in RNAcentral is "16S ribosomal RNA". It matches the Rfam family "Bacterial small subunit ribosomal RNA". The record is from RNAcentral. Lineage: Bacteria; Pseudomonadati; Pseudomonadota; Betaproteobacteria; Neisseriales; Chromobacteriaceae.
UGCAAGUCGACGGCAGCACGGGAGCUUGCUCCUGGUGGCGAGUGGCGAACGGGUGAGUAAUGCGUCGGAACGUGCCGAGUAGUGGGGGAUAACUAUCCGAAAGGAUAGCUAAUACCGCAUACGCUCUGAGGAGGAAAGCAGGGGAUCUUAGGACCUUGCGCUAUUUGAGCGGCCGACGUCUGAUUAGCUAGUUGGUGAGGUAAAGGCUCACCAAGGCAUCGAUCAGUAGCGGGUCUGAGAGGAUGAUCCGCCACACUGGGACUGAGACACGGCCCAGACUCCUACGGGAGGCAGCAGUGGGGAAUUUUGGACAAUGGGCGCAAGCCUGAUCCAGCCAUGCCGCGUGUCUGAAGAAGGCCUUCGGGUUGUAAAGGACUUUUGUCAGGGAGGAAAUCCCUAGCGCUAAUAUCGCUGGGGGAUGACAGUACCUGAAGAAUAAGCACCGGCUAACUACGUGCCAGCAGCCGCGGUAAUACGUAGGGUGCAAGCGUUAAUCGGAAUUACUGGGCGUAAAGCGUGCGCAGGCGGUUGUGUAAGUCUGAUGUGAAAGCCCCGGGCUCAACCUGGGAACUGCAUUGGAGACUGCACAGCUAGAGUGCGUCAGAGGGGGGUAGAAUUCCGCGUGUAGCAGUGAAAUGCGUAGAGAUGCGGAGGAAUACCGAUGGCGAAGGCAGCCCCCUGGGAUGACACUGACGCUCAUGCACGAAAGCGUGGGGGAGCAAACAGGAUUAGAUACCCUGGUAGUCCACGCCCUAAACGAUGUCAACUAGCUGUUGGGGGUUUGAAUCCUUGGUAGCGUAGCUAACGCGAGAAGUUGACCGCCUGGGGAGUACGGCCGCAAGGUUAAAACUCAAAGGAAUUGACGGGGACCCGCACAAGCGGUGGAUGAUGUGGAUUAAUUCGAUGCAACGCGAAAAACCUUACCUGGUCUUGACAUGUACAGAACUUUCCAGAGAUGGAUUGGUGCCCGAAAGGGAGCUGUAACACAGGUGCUGCAUGGCUGUCGUCAGCUCGUGUCGUGAGAUGUUGGGUUAAGUCCCGCAACGAGCGCAACCCUUGCCAUUAGUUGCUACCAUUUAGUUGAGCACUCUAAUGGGACUGCCGGUGACAAACCGGAGGAAGGUGGGGAUGACGUCAAGUCCUCAUGGCCCUUAUGACCAGGGCUUCACACGUCAUACAAUGGUCGGUACAGAGGGUAGCCAAGCCGCGAGGUGGAGCCAAUCUCAUAAAACCGAUCGUAGUCCGGAUCGCACUCUGCAACUCGAGUGCGUGAAGUCGGAAUCGCUAGUAAUCGCAGAUCAGCAUGCUGCGGUGAAUACGUUCCCGGGUCUUGUACACACCGCCCGUCACACCAUGGGAGUGAGUUUCACCAGAAGUGGGUAGGCUAACCGUAAGGAGGCCGCU